GUGUUCAGGUAAUCGCUGUUUCUUAACAGAAACAGAGGAAAGUCCAUGCUCGCACAGCCUGUGAUGGCUGUAGUGUUCGCGCCUGGCGAAACCAUAAGCCAGGGCAGCCUGAUAAAGGCUGACGGCAGAAGGAAUGCCUACGUCCGUAUAUCGGAUAUGGCAAACACUUCUUGAAAGUGCCACAGUGACGAAGCUCUGCUGGAAACGGCAGAGGUGGAACGAGGUAAACCCCGCGAGUGAGAAACCCAAAAUUUGGUAGGGGCACUUCUGCAAAGGAAUCAAACGGAGCAGAAGGCACUGCGUUAAGCGGUGCAGACAGAUGAUUACCGCACCGGUACGAGGGUGACUCCCGAUCGCAGUACGGUGUACAGAACAUGGCUUACAGAA
This 387-nucleotide RNase P RNA is filed under the name Alkalicoccus luteus. RNAcentral describes it as "Bacillus luteus RNase P RNA component class B". It matches the Rfam family "Bacterial RNase P class B". From Rfam's summary of the family: Ribonuclease P (RNase P) is a ubiquitous endoribonuclease, found in archaea, bacteria and eukarya as well as chloroplasts and mitochondria. Lineage: Bacteria; Bacillati; Bacillota; Bacilli; Caryophanales; Bacillaceae. The record is from RNAcentral.